GGGUUGUGAGGUUAAGCGACUAAGCGUACACGGUGGAUGCCCUGGCAGUCAGAGGCGAUGAAGGGCGUGCUAAUCUGCGAUAAGCGCCGGUAAGGUGAUAUGAACCGUUAUAACCGGCGAUACCCGAAUGGGGAAACCCAGUG
RNAcentral lists this ribosomal RNA (143 nucleotides) under Salmonella enterica subsp. enterica serovar Heidelberg. Its description in RNAcentral is "partial 23S ribosomal RNA". It matches the Rfam family "Bacterial large subunit ribosomal RNA", at positions 1 to 133 of the family's 2925-position model. Lineage: Bacteria; Pseudomonadati; Pseudomonadota; Gammaproteobacteria; Enterobacterales; Enterobacteriaceae. RNAcentral also lists the same sequence under 21 other names. The record is from RNAcentral.